RNAcentral lists this ribosomal RNA (1510 nucleotides) under Nitzschia cf. pusilla. Its description in RNAcentral is "eukaryotic LSU rRNA". The stretch from base 752 to 1510 matches the Rfam family "Eukaryotic large subunit ribosomal RNA", at positions 1 to 840 of the family's 3401-position model. The record is from RNAcentral. Lineage: Eukaryota; Bacillariophyta; Bacillariophyceae; Bacillariales; Bacillariaceae.
GUCGUAACAAGGUUUCCGUAGGUGAACCUGCGGAAGGAUCAUUACCACACCGAUCCAAGAUCUUCCAUUUUGUGAAUAGACCUGCUGCACUGUCAAACUAAGUGGCAGUGUGCACGGUCGUAAUCCAUUUCUUUUGAUUGUCUAGGAGUUUCACUUCGAAACGACUAGAUAAUUUCACUACGAACCAGUAUUGAAAUUAUGAUCUGAAGCAUAAAGGGAAGGCGAGAGCAGAAGCGCUCCAGGGUGCAUCUGCGACUCUGCCCGAACUACAAAAACAAUCUAGUACAACUUUCAGCGGUGGAUGUCUAGGUUCCCACAACGAUGAAGAACGCAGCGAAAUGCGAUACGUAAUGCGAAUUGCAAGACCUCGUGAAUCAUUAAGAUUUUGAACGCACAUUGCGCUUUCGGGUUUACCCGGUAGCAUGCUUGUCUGAGUGUCUGUGAACCCCACUCAGCACCGGUUGAUGUGAAUCGACUUGGUAGCUGGAUUGUGGCAGUGGUUGGAAGCUGGCCUUUGGUUGGUUUCGGAUCUCUGCUGGAAUGGAGUUUCGGACGCGUUGUUUGAAAUUGUCUGGGUGCAGGUUAGUCCUGAACCAUGCAAUACGAUGUGAGCACACGUCUAUCUCCGGUGGCAGCCUAGUGUUGUCGAAGGAGUUGAAGCAUGUGCGAGCAGAGUUUGGAUCAUGCGACUAUUCUGAUUAUCUAGCGAUUUCAAAGCGCACAUCGAGUUAUCUCGAUGAUUGCAACUUACGGAUCUCAGCUUAAGCAAGAGGACCCGCCGAAUUUAAGCAUAUAAUUAAGCGGAGGAAAAGAAACUAACCAGGAUUCCCCUAGUAAGGGCGACUGAAGCGGGAUCUGCUCAGGAUGUGAAUCUGCGCCUUAGAAGCGCCGAAUUGUGGUCUGUAGACAGUGGCAUUACCAGCCGGGCCAAGUCCCUUGGAACAGGGCAGCUGAGAGGGUGAGACUCCCGUUCGCCUGGCAGGAUGAGCUACUAGUCAACGAGUCGAGUUGUUUGGGAUUGCAGCUCAAAGCGGGUGGUAAAUUCCAUCUAAAGCUAAAUAUUGGUGGGAGACCGAUAGCGUACAAGUACCGUGAGGGAAAGAUGCAAAGAACUUUGAAAAGAGAGUUAAAGAGUACCUGAAAUUGCUGAAAGGGAAGCGAAGGAAACCAGUGUUGGCUUGGUCAUAUUUCCCUGUCCGCUUGCGGUUUGGGCGCUGUGUCCGGCUUGUGUUGUUCUUGGUUGGUACUUUUGGAAGAGCGCAGUGAGAGUUGAUCUCUGUUGCUAGCAUUGGUACUGACUGAGGAGGACGAAAUGGUUUUCUUUACCCCGUCUUGAAACACGGACCAAGGAGUCUAACAUAUGUGCGAGUACAGGGGUGGCAAACCCCCGUGCGCAAUGAAAGUGACAGUGGUUGGACUUUUGCACAAUCCGCCGGCCUCAAUCCUUCGGGAGAACGGUCUGAGUGUGAGCAUACAUGUUGGGACCCGAAAGAUGGUGAACUAUGCGUGA